GGCUUAUCUCGUCCCCGCUUUGGGUUUCGUCAAACAGCCCAUUUUGUUUCAUUCCAUCGGAGAUCUUCUCAACCAUGGCGAGUAUAAAUGGGGUGUUUGGAGCGACGAGAGUUACUACUUUUCGCUUCUCAAGAGAUCCUCCGCCCCCGAAUUUCAAGAAUUGUAUCGCGGUAUAAUUGAUUUUAACAAGUCAGACAGCGAAGUGCUGAGUGCGAAUGUAGAGGUUCACAAACGAAAAAUUCUGACUGAAAAAUAUGCUUUCAUCUCCACAUCUAUGAGCAUGGAGUCGUUCGUUGCUGAACAUUGCGACGUCGUACGCGUCGACAAAUUGGCUGAACUUCCAUUUGCUUUUCCGCUGCCGAAAGGCUCAGCCUUUACACCUUUUAUCUCAAAAUGGAUAAGAAACUUCCACGAAAACGGACAGAUUGAGCGAUGGAAACGGAAAUGGAUUCCAAAGCGCAAUUGUACAGUUGCAAAGACGAAGUCUGAAGUCUUAACCAUGGUGGAUGUGCAAAGUCUGUUUGUUGUUGUGGCUUCUGGCACUGUGUUGUCUUUGAUUGUGCUAAUGUUUGAGCAGAUUUCCUUCCGCUUCCUGAAGCGGAGAGACCUUAAGAAAACGAAGAAAUAUGUAACAUGCCAACGAACCCUUUGAGUUUGUGAGUCGUAUGUAAGAUAAAAUUAAGAACUACACAGUCAUUCUUCCCCAUAUUAUACCGGAAAUUAAUAUGUGACGUUUAGCGAAUAAUUUUUUUUUGUCUAUAAUCAGCUAUUUCUUCGACGCUUGUUGUCUUGAGUGUAACGUCUGAACAAUACGAAAUGAGACUGAAACCGAAUCUAAUGUUUAUUUAAAAUUAUUGAAUAGCUUUCACGAUAUAUGUGUUUCAUUCUCUGUUUUGCUUCCCGACCAGCACAUUCUAUGUGUAAUAUACUAUAGUACAUUGGCCUUCAGAAGCACUAAAGUAUAUUAGGAAACUUAUCAUUUUAUGUAACAACACGGUGUAUGAGGAAAUAUAAAAUCCUCAAACAAGGCUGUGCAUUGUUGGUUCCGCUUUCCAUGGAAAUGUUCAGUGUUUGCCGUCAAUACUUGCAUGUCGGUAUUGUGUCUCGCAAGAGAGUGCGAUACCUUUGAUGACAUUCUGUCAAUAUUUGAAACCAGCACAAACAUAUGCGAGUGCUGUUUGUUUUACGUUAUUAUCACAUCUGUAAAUCUUUUGUAAACGUGUAUGUCCGGGUUGUGUUUUCGACAAAAACACCAGUAGUGGGCUUUUUUUUUUUGCCAUGUAAUGAAGAUCGGCUCAACGUAUAUUCGAGAAAACCGUCAACUAUUGCUUUUUCGUUGUAAUGAAACGGUUUCCUGGUUCAAACAUGUUAUUCUCUCCUCGACACACUAAAAACAUUCAUCUGUUAAUUUUAACAGAAAGUCUGUUGUCUUGAGUGAUGCUAGAAUGCAUUCCGUUUUGCAGAAGAUUGUUCUGUUAGUUACAACAUAUAUGUAGCUUAAUUUAACAUAAAAAUUCUAUUAGACUAACAGAGUAUUAUGCCAUAAUAACAAAAUACAUUCUAGCAUCACAAUUUCUGUUAAAAUUAACAGAUACAUUUUUUGCAAUGUGUUGCUAAAAUAUACCGCCGAAGCGACGUUAGAACAUGAUCAUUCAUUUAUUCCUUCAUGCUAAAAAAAUGGUCUUGUUAAACGUCAGCAUUGUCCUUUCUUGACAUGGCUAACCUUGACAGAGGAGAUUCUUAGGAGGUCAUGAGAUGUGCCAUACCAGACACACCAAAAACAUUGGCGUCACUCGUACCUCACGCACACAUGAUUAAAGGGCAAACCACAGUUCUGGUGACGA
This is a long non-coding RNA of Liolophura sinensis, 1844 nucleotides long. RefSeq lists it as uncharacterized. The transcript has 3 exons. The record is from RefSeq and is a predicted model, not a curated record. NCBI's taxonomy places the organism in Eukaryota, Metazoa, Mollusca, Polyplacophora, Chitonida, Chitonidae.